AGAAUCAACGCUGGCGGCGUGCCUAACACAUGCAAGUCGAACGAGAAAGUGGUAGCAAUACCAUGAGUAAAGUGGCGCACGGGUGAGUAACACGUGACUAACCUACCCUUGAGUGGGGGAUAACUGAGGGAAACCUUAGCUAAUACCGCAUAAUACCCACGGGUCAAAGGAGCAAUUCGCUCGAGGAGGGGGUCGCGGCCGAUUAGUUAGUUGGCGGGGUAAUGGCCCACCAAGCGAUGAUCGGUA
RNAcentral lists this ribosomal RNA (246 nucleotides) under uncultured bacterium. RNAcentral describes it as "partial small subunit ribosomal RNA". It matches the Rfam family "Bacterial small subunit ribosomal RNA", at positions 26 to 285 of the family's 1533-position model. The record is from RNAcentral.